Molecule: transfer RNA, 73 nt
Filed under: Aedes aegypti (yellow fever mosquito)
Lineage: Eukaryota; Metazoa; Arthropoda; Insecta; Diptera; Culicidae
Rfam family: tRNA
About the family: Transfer RNA (tRNA) molecules are approximately 80 nucleotides in length.
Source: Rfam by way of RNAcentral
ACUCUAAUGGGCGUAGUGGUAACGCACCCAACUAGAGAUCGGGGUGUCGUGAGUUCGAUUCUCACUGAGAAGA